This 465-nucleotide ribosomal RNA is filed under the name Vreelandella stevensii. Its description in RNAcentral is "partial 16S ribosomal RNA". It matches the Rfam family "Bacterial small subunit ribosomal RNA", at positions 338 to 795 of the family's 1533-position model. Lineage: Bacteria; Pseudomonadati; Pseudomonadota; Gammaproteobacteria; Oceanospirillales; Halomonadaceae. The record is from RNAcentral.
CCUACGGGAGGCUGCAGUGGGGAAUAUUGGACAAUGGGCGAAAGCCUGAUCCAGCCAUGCCGCGUGUGUGAAGAAGGCCUUCGGGUUGUAAAGCACUUUCAGUGGGGAAGAAAGCCUUGGGGCUAAUACCCUCGAGGAAGGACAUCACCCACAGAAGAAGCACCGGCUAACUCCGUGCCAGCAGCCGCGGUAAUACGGAGGGUGCGGGCGUUAAUCGGAAUUACUGGGCGUAAAGCGCGCGUAGGCGGUCUGAUAAGCCGGUUGUGAAAGCCCCGGGCUCAACCUGGGAACGGCAUCCGGAACUGUCAGGCUAGAGUGCAGGAGAGGAAGGGAGAAUUCCCGGUGUAGCGGUGAAAUGCGUAGAGAUCGGGAGGAAUACCAGUGGCGAAGGCGGCCUUCUGGACUGACACUGACGCUGAGGUGCGAAAGCGUGGGUAGCAAACAGGAUUAGAUACCCCUGUAGUC